RNAcentral lists this small RNA (30 nucleotides) under Bombyx mori (domestic silkworm). RNAcentral's name for it is "piRNA piR-bmo-2090390". The record is from RNAcentral. Lineage: Eukaryota; Metazoa; Arthropoda; Insecta; Lepidoptera; Bombycidae.
UCGCUGGGUGUCAUGUGGCAUAUGGCCCAU